This 72-nucleotide transfer RNA is filed under the name Fukomys damarensis (Damara mole-rat). It matches the Rfam family "tRNA". Rfam says of the family: Transfer RNA (tRNA) molecules are approximately 80 nucleotides in length. Their secondary structure includes four short double-helical elements and three loops (D, anti-codon, and T loops). The record is from Rfam by way of RNAcentral. Lineage: Eukaryota; Metazoa; Chordata; Mammalia; Rodentia; Bathyergidae.
GGGGGUGUAGCUCAAUGGUAGAGUGUUUCUCUAGCAUGAAAGAGGUCCUGGGUUUGAUCUCCAGCACCACAG